UGGGAUUAUGGGCGUGAGCUACUGUGCCGU
Molecule: non-coding RNA, 30 nt
Filed under: Homo sapiens (human)
Lineage: Eukaryota; Metazoa; Chordata; Mammalia; Primates; Hominidae
Source: RNAcentral